CAGACAGGCAGGUGAGUUUGGUGCCCAUCUGGCAGGAAACUGAGGCUUAGGGCCUCUUGAAAACUGAUUGCCUACUGAAGCCCCUGACAGAAUGAUUCUCCGCUCCUUCAGAAAAGAAAACAGGCAUGGGACAGGAACAAAUGGCCCCUACGGAAGAGGUGGCCUCGGACUUCAACAUGAGUCCAGUCUGGAAGGAGAAACCUUGCCAGCUCCUGAGUUCAGCUCUUCCAUCUCAGUUCUAGCACCUCGACUCUUCUAAGCCCUGGAAUCCCAGGCAGAAGGGAAACACAUAGUUUUUCCAAGCCCAGUAGCACAUAUUCCAACCAUCCAUGUAUUCAUUUGUUCAUUCAACAGACAUUUAUCAAACCCCUAUUUGCUGCCAAGGAUUGUACACUAUGGAAAUAUUUUUCUGAUAAACAACUAAGAAGUG
Long non-coding RNA from Peromyscus eremicus (cactus mouse), 430 nucleotides. RefSeq lists it as uncharacterized. The record is from RefSeq and is a predicted model, not a curated record. The transcript is spliced from 2 exons. Lineage: Eukaryota; Metazoa; Chordata; Mammalia; Rodentia; Cricetidae.